This is a long non-coding RNA of Vanessa tameamea, 254 nucleotides long. RefSeq lists it as uncharacterized. Lineage: Eukaryota; Metazoa; Arthropoda; Insecta; Lepidoptera; Nymphalidae. The record is from RefSeq and is a predicted model, not a curated record. The transcript has 3 exons.
UUUUUUUUGUUUUAUAUUAUUGUUUUUUUUUUUAUAAUUAUUAUAAUGAUUUAACUUAGUUGUCCACAUUUACCAAAAAUGGUACCACCUGAAAAAUCGUGGAGAACAUUCGAUGGUCCAGCAAGCAGUAAACCAGUUGCGCCAAAGUCAACGUUUAAAACACCAACUACACCAAAGACAGAAAAAAGAGUUCAAUCGAUAACCGUUCCCCGGAAAAGUGAACCAAGACCACGCGGAUAUCCAUGCAAUGAAAG